Molecule: long non-coding RNA, 5062 nt
Organism: Vicia villosa (hairy vetch)
Lineage: Eukaryota; Viridiplantae; Streptophyta; Magnoliopsida; Fabales; Fabaceae
Exons: 3
Source: RefSeq, a predicted model, not a curated record
UGAAUAUUAAUUAUCUAGUUAAAUGAAUAUUAGGUGAAUAUCUUCCGCUUCUCUCUGGUCUCUCUCCGAAGAUGAAGUCAAACAUAAAUUCGAUUCCGAAUCCAAACCCAACUUCUUUCGGUCUCGAACCUGAGCUGGACAACGACCUUGAUGACCUCGACGAAGAUGAAAACAUAGUUUACGAUGAUGAACAGUGGCAGGUUAAAUCCAGUAUCGGUCUCAAUUCCACCCUCGAUUUUGAGCAUUGGUUUGCGGCACACUCGUUUACUAUCACUGCGCUUUCAAGAAUUCUGCCAUCUUCUAUCUUUUCUCCGAUGUUUUUAUUGUUCUACUCUGCUCCCUCGCCACUCUCGGUCUCCUCUUCCAGCAAAUGACCAUUCAGGAUGACCGUGUCAAAUUGGUGAGGGAAGGAAAACAUCAGGUUUGGUCACACAUUUUUCUCUUGUAAAAGUUUUUGUUCAUUGAUAAGUAUUAUUUCCUAAUAAGCAGCACUUCAAUCCCACCAAACAAGUAUCGUGUAAGAUAGAAAUACUGGAUGUAUGUUUUUCUUUUGGUUGCUAAGUUUCUCAUAUUAUGUUCAUUAGUGAUUUUACAGAAAGACGAUUUUAUUUAUUAGGCACUUUUAAGGCUGUGGUAGCUAUUGAGCAUGUGAUGGAGUCCAAGUCUAGUACGAAUUCUUCUCCGGGUUCUGUUCUGCAUCAAGAGCAUGUUGGAGAUUUAUCAAAGGGUUGUCUGCGGAUGAAAGUGUCACUAUUAAUGUAAGUAAAAAAAUUACUAUUUCAACUACUCUAAAACCUUCUCAUUUAGCUCUAAGUUGGCUUUUGCUCGUUUGCUUAUCGUGUUGCAAGCAUAUCAUCAUCAUUGGCUGGAACAACUUUGUGCCAAAAAUACCAUUCCCCAUAGUGAUCUACCAUAAGAAGUCUAUGUGGAGUAAGCGGAGUGUGGGAAGGUUUGUUGGUUAGAUGACUCCCAUAUGGCUUGAAAUAAUCUCCCCAGGUUUGGUUUGAGAGUUUAAGUGAAGUACUAUCAGGAUUCUUUAAGCUUACUCGUGAGGAAAUAAGUGAGUUACCGAAAAAUAUGAUUUAGCUAUGAUCAUGUAAUCUUUAUCAAUAAUCCAUUAGUGAGUGGUUAUUCUUCUGGUAGUCUAUGUUUAUGAUAGAGUAAUAGUUUGGGGACGACACAUUUGGCAUAACAGAAUUCAAGACCCUUUUUCAAACCAAUUUUUAAACAGAAGAACUAGGCCAUUUGAAGCACUCCAUAGGAAUUAGAAAGAGAUUUUCCUCUCAUGUUGGAAAUAUGCUCUUGUAUUCCUUUCAUAUAUGUAAAAUUUCAUCAAAAUCACUUUCAUUAAGUGGAUCUGUUUCAUGUUUAGAUAGGAAUGGACGGGCAGAAUCAGAAAAACAAGUACAGUAUAAUUGUUCCUACAUAUAAUGAGCUUCUCAACAUAAGCCUCAUUAUUUACCUUAUAUUCAAACACCUUCCGUAAUUUCUCCAUCUCUUGCUUCUAUAUACUCUCUCUUCAAUUUUUUGUUCCUUCUAUGUUAGUUCUGAGAUUAUUCAUAAGCCGUUAAAUGUGUUUCUUUCAGGGAAUAUAAGCAUGUUUUUAUGAACUUGAUGUGCUUGAGAACGUGUUGCAUGUGUAGUUUGAGGUGUUGACUUUAAUGGAUUUGGGAAACACUUUUGAUUUUCCAUGCCUGCAUAUUAACAAGAAAUAUAUUAGAGAAAAGUAAAUAAAAUAACUCUGAAGAACAAAAGGGACAUAUUACAACAAAAUAAAUAAAAUAAAUAACUUUUACAAAAAACACAUCUUUAACAAUACUAAAACUAUUUACUUUAAACAAAUAACAAUAUAAAUCUAUCUAUAUAGACAUGUCUGUAUUUUAAUCAACUACAUCAUUAUUCAAAUGAUUGGUAGCUAAUUGCAUAUACUCAUCAUCAUUGUUAUGAAAAUUCAAAGCAAGUUCAUGUUCUUAUUAUUACAUGUUUUGAUGAACUUCUUCUUAUACUUCUUCUCCCAUUUCAUACAAAUCUCUUGGCUUUAAAUGCAUUGCAACACUCCAUCCAUUAUUAACCAAAUCCUCAACAUAAUACACACCAAUUGUGCUUGAGAUGCCUCAAUGUAAGGAUCAUGUUCUUCAUGAUCACCAUUAUAAAUCAAUCUAUCAAAAUUUACACAAUUAAAAUUCCAACUAUCCUUUUUAUACCCUCUAUCUCUUGUGGUAUCUGCCCAUUUGCAUUUGAAAAGAGCAACUUUGAAAUGACCAUAAUAGUUAAUCUCAAUGAUAUCUUCCAACUUUCCAUAAUAAGGCAAGUCUGCUUGUCUGAAGUUUCUGUUGAUCGCGACAAAGUGGGUAUGUCUAUAGAUCCGUGACUACAAGUGCACAGUCUUAUCACGUAGUGUAACACCCCAUAUUUUUCUAUUAUACUUUAAUUGAAAUAUAAAUUAAUUAUUUGGAAUUAACUAAUUAUUCGGUGAAUUAUUGGAGAAUUGGAAAUAAUAUAAUUGGGCUUGUGUUGUGAUUAGUAGAGAAGGGGGUGCUAAGUGUGUAGGCCUCACUAAUCAUAUUUCUAAUUUUCAUAAAAUUGUGAAAAGGAAAUUAGAAGAAAAAAGAGCCAAAGUGAGAAAACAGAGAAGAUACGUGAAAGAGGAGAAGAGGAAGAGAACCUUCAAGAGAUUCAAGCUCUAAGGUAAGGUGGGACUCUUUGGGUUAGUAAUUAUUAUACAAUCAAGGGUAGUAGAAUGAAUUAGAAUUGUUGUUUGAUUCAAUUGUAUGUGUUGGGUUUUGGGGUAGUUAGGUUUUGAGUAAUCUCAUAACUUUUAUGUGAAUUUGAUGAAUUGGAUGAUAAUGUUCAAGUAUGUUGUUGAUUGAUGUUAAAACAUGUUAGAAUAGUGUUAUAACAUGUAAAUUGGUGUUGUUUCGAUGUAUAAUUCGUAUUGGUACGAGAUAGAAAUCAUGGAAAGGGCUAAGUUGCUGUCAAAUAACGUUUUUCUACUGCAGGAGGUGAUAGCUAACCGAUUUGUAAAGCGGCCAUUUUUCUCAUACUUUGUUAUAUUUGUGAAACUUGUGAUUAGUGAUAAUAAUAUAGAGUAAGGAACACGAAAUUACAAGUUAUAUUUUAGUUGAGACAAAAUUGUAACAACGGAAAAUUUUGAAAGAAAUGGGUGGAAAAGGAUUAGAAAUGAGGCGCCACACUCUUUCUAUGAUUUAGAAAGGAUGAUAAGCCUUAAAUGAAGAUCACCACAAGAAACUUGGUUUCUUGAUAAUAUAAAAAACUUGGUCCAAUCCAGAACCAAAGGAGCAAAGCUCUCAAAAUCACACAAAGUGUUUAACAAAAUUCAACUUGCUCUUUCAUUCAUAUUUAGCUCCCUAUUUAUAGGUAAAGGGUAGCUUACAAUAAUAACUCAAGAAACUCUACAACUUCAGCCCACUAACUAAUCAAUAAUGAUUUGGAAAAGAAAGGUCACACACUUAAAGGUAGUGGAGAAAGUGGAUAUUAAUUGCCUUGAUGAAUGAUAGCAAUUUAUAGCCACUUUUAUCAAUGCAUCCCACCUUUCUCUUUUUCCUUCCAUCAAAGUUUGACCUUUUGAUUUCUUGAGCCCAUUAUUCACUUAGAAACAUAAAAGUCACGAAAUUUCUAAGCUUUAAGAGCUUUAGGAUUUUUAAAAACACAUUAAAAAUUAAAAACAAGUGUUUUGGGAAAAAAAUUUGACAAGCUGGGCCCUAACACAUUUUAUUUGGAGCACUUUUUUUUAUAUGUUUCUUUCCACAUGCUUAGUAAACUCAUGAUCUCAUCAUUCUCCCAAACUUCAAGAGGAUUUGUCCUCAAAUCCAAACCUGCAUCAAUAGUUAGUUGAUUGAAAAAAAUUCUCUUCCUUUUCUCUUUUCUUUCUUUUUGAAAGUUUUUUGUUUUAUCUUCCAUAUUCUCAAAGAGAUCUUUUUUUUCAAUUGUAUCUUCUUUUUUUCUCUCUUCUUCUUUUCUCUUAUAACUUUUAUUCUUCUUCACUUCCUUGUAAAUGUAUUUUCUCUCUUUUUCUUUUCUUUCCACUUCUUUACUAGUGCUCUCUAUUUUUUCAAUGAUUGUUUUUUUCUUUUCUUCAUUGACAAAAUUUCCAACAUUCAUUUUUUUCUCACUUUCUCUUUUCAAGAUUUGAUGUUGAAAUUUUUCUUUAGGAACAAGAGCUAUUUGAAAAGUUUUAAAUAAAAAAGAGUAUGUGUUAGUGAAAUAAUCAUACUUUGGUCGAUGUUGUUUAUGCCAUGGAAGCCCAAGUAACAAUUCUCUCGUUUUUGAAGGCACCACAUCACAUAACACUUCAUCUUCGUAUUCUUCAAGCAUGAAUGACACUAUUACUUGUUUUGGUCACCAAAAUAUUAGCCAUAUCUUUGAAUUCUGGAUCCUCGAGGCUAUAAAGUAUAUAUGGCUCUGGAUGCUCAAGAACCGGAAGUCCCAAUCUCUCUACCAUAGUUGUACUUGCCAUAUUGAUCCAAUAUUUUUUACUAAUGAACAUGUCACAAACUUUAUAAUUCACAAGACAUUUUGUGACAAAACUUUUCUUUUUUUGUUUGUCUUCCAUAAUGAACCACUAUAAGAAACUAAAACUUGGCAAACAAUUACAAAAAAAAAAAACUUUUGAUGAUUACAAAUAUUUGGCAAACUUUUCAAUACAAGAUGAAGAACAAAAUUAACAAGAAAAAAAAACAAAUUACAAAUAUUUGGCCCUUUUUAGAACCAUGCUCUGAUACCACUUGCUUUCUGCCCUUAUUUGCAUAUUUAGCAUAGCUUUCAUUUUUCUUUUCAAUUUGUAUUUUAACUUCCUCAUGUAAUAUCUUUACAAAGUCAGACUUAGCUUUUCCAUCCUUAUGCUUCAAAAGAGAAGUUUUAGGCAAUGGCAAUAAAUCAAGAGGUGUUAAUGGAUUAAAGCCAUACACAAUUUCAAAAGGUGAAAACUUUGUAGUACUAUGAACAGCCCUAUUAUAAGCAAACUCCACAUGAGGCAACCAUUCUUCCCACAUUUUUAAAUUCUUUUUAAGAACGCCCCUAAGAGUAGAAAGAGUUCUAUUGA